This is a long non-coding RNA of Gopherus evgoodei (Goodes thornscrub tortoise), 634 nucleotides long. RefSeq lists it as uncharacterized. The transcript has 7 exons. The record is from RefSeq and is a predicted model, not a curated record. Lineage: Eukaryota; Metazoa; Chordata; Testudines; Testudinidae.
GGAGGAGCCGGAGCCGGAGCCGGAGACGGGCUGUGGAGGAGAGUUGGUUGCGUCGGCUCUGCCUGGCUCGCGCGGGGCCGUUGGAGCCUCUCCCGGGGCCGGAGAAGGGUGUGUGGCUGAGAUCAGGGCUCCUAUCGUACUGAGCGUGGCCCUGUUCUGCCAGGUGCUGCGGAGACCCCAACUGAGAUCUGGGCCCUGCUUUGCCAGGCACUGAAGAGACCCCAGGCUACAGAAUAACAUCCACGUUUUGCUCCAGAUCAUCCCAUCCUCCCAGGGGGAAGGCAAUGGCUGCAAUGGAGCUGGCUCAGGCCUUCCAUUCUCCUGUUCAAGAGACAUCACCCAGGGCUCCCUCUGCCUGUGUGACUGGCCAGCAGGGGGUGGUGAUAACUUCCUAUCCACCUCUCAGGCACUGUGAGAGUCCUGGCUCCAAGCACUGCCCGGCAUUCCCCAGUCACGUGCCCUGUCACUGUGAUAACUUUCUAUCCACUUAUCAAACACUGUGAGGCUGCAGAAUAAUGUCCAUGUUUCGCUCCAGUUCAUCCCGUCCUCUCGUUGGACAGGGGAGAGAAAUGGCUGCAGAGGAGCCAGUUCAGGGGCCGGUGACCUUCGAGGAGGUGGCUGUGUAUUUCACCAG